This 985-nucleotide ribosomal RNA is filed under the name Polyacanthonotus rissoanus (smallmouth spiny eel). Its description in RNAcentral is "partial 16S ribosomal RNA". It matches the Rfam family "Bacterial large subunit ribosomal RNA", at positions 1283 to 2788 of the family's 2925-position model. Lineage: Eukaryota; Metazoa; Chordata; Actinopteri; Notacanthiformes; Notacanthidae. The record is from RNAcentral.
UAGAAGAGAUAAUGCUAAAAUGAGUAAUAAGAAGGACUGACCUUCUCCCUGCGCACCUGUAUGUCAGAUUGGACCAACCACUGAUAAAUACCGAACCCCUUAAUAGAGGGCAUCAUUUUACAAUGAAUAAAGAUCGAGGAAACCCAAUGAACUAAAUCGUUGACCCAACACAGGAGCACAAAAAGGAAAGACAUAAAGAGAGAGAAGGAACUCGGCAAACCCGAGCCUCGCCUGUUUACCAAAAACAUCGCCUCCUGCUAAAAAAGAAGUAUUGGAGGUCCCGCCUGCCCAGUGACAAAAAGUUAAACGGCCGCGGUAUUCUGACCGUGCUAAGGUAGCGUAAUCACUUGUCUUUUAAAUGAAGACCCGUAUGAAUGGCAUCACGAGGGCUCAGCUGUCUCCUCUCUUUAGUCAAUGAAAUUGAUCUGCCCGUGCAGAAGCGGACAUGAUAACAUAAGACGAGAAGACCCUAUGGAGCUUAAGACAAAGGGCCAACCAUGUUAAACUACUAAUGAACCGACCGGGUUAAGAAGUAAUCAAGCUCUGUGGCACAUGGCCGGAAUGUCUUCGGUUGGGGCGACCUCGGAGGAAAACCAAGCCUCCGCGUGGAAUGGGGGUAAUGACCUCCCCCUAGAACUAAGAGCCACAAAUCUAAGUAGCAAAAAUUUUGACCAUUAAUGACCCGGAAUAAAUCCGAUCAACGAACCAAGUUACCCUAGGGAUAACAGCGCAAUCCCUUCCCAGAGUCCAUAUCGACGAAGGGGUUUACGACCUCGAUGUUGGAUCAGGACAUCCUAAUGGUGCAGCCGCUAUUAAGGGUUCGUUUGUUCAACGAUUAAAGUCCUACGUGAUCUGAGUUCAGACCGGAGAAAUCCAGGUCGGUUUCUAUCUAUGACGUGACUUCUCCUAGUACGAAAGGGCCGGAGCAGUGGGGCCCCUGCCAAAAGCAAGCCUCUCCCCCACCUGAUGAAAACAAAUAAAACAG